CUACGGGGCGCACCAGUGGGGAAUAUUGGACAAUGGGGGAAACCCUGGUCCAGCAAUGCCGCGUGUGAAGAAGGCCUGCGGGUUGUAAAGCACUUUCGGUUGGGAGGACUGCUUCUAGCACUAAUAUUGUUGGAAGUUGACGUUACCUUCAGAAGAAGCACCGGCUAACUCCGUGCCAGCAGCCGCGGUAAUACGGAGGGUGCAAGCGUUAAUCGGAAUUACUGGGCGUAAAGCGCGCGUAGGCGGCUAGAUCAGUCGGGUGUGAAAGCCCCGGGCUUAACCUGGGAACUGCAUCCGAUACUGUCGAGCUUGAGUACAGGAGAGGAGAGUGGAAUUCCACAUGUAGCGGUGAAAUGCGUAGAUAUGUGGAGGAACACCAAUGGCGAAGGCAGCUCUCUGGCCUGAUACUGACGCCGAGGUGCGAAAGCGUGGGGAGCAAACAGGAUUAGAUACCCUCGUAGUC
Molecule: ribosomal RNA, 463 nt
Filed under: uncultured bacterium
Lineage: Bacteria
Description: partial 16S ribosomal RNA
Rfam family: Bacterial small subunit ribosomal RNA
Source: RNAcentral